GAUACUCUUAGUCAAGCCAUUUUCAGUUAAAUUCAUUCAGCCACAUGAUUCAGGAAAAAUCAAUAAUCUCAGUAAUAUUCCAUCAGUCAACAGAACUCAGUUAACUCAGUUCAGUUAGUUCAAUUAGCCAUGUUCAGUGUCUAUUCAGAUGGGAGUAGGAAUUAGCACCGAGUAAACCCAAGGUGGGAACUCACCUGUCAUAUGAGGGUGUGAUUCUUGGACGCAAUUCUUGCGUUCCAGAACUAUGUAGCAAGCAUAGGUAAAGGUAUUAGUGUUUUGGACAAAUGGAGAAGCGGAGUUGGAUAAUACAUUAGUUGGUUGGUCCCCGAGAAUAGGGGUAAUGAGGGGAGAGAUUUGGAGUGGAGUCCCGUGUCCUCCUGGAGUAGGAGCAUUGAUGGUGAUGGCCAAGUUAGCUGAAUACUGGGUGUGAUUUAUUUCCUCCUGAAGCAUUUUUAUCUUUCUUGCAAGUUUCAUAAUCAUUUUAUUCUCUUCCGCUUUCACAUUAUCCCGGAUAGUCAGUGCGCUUUCUUCGCCAUUUCCUGUCAUUUUUGAAUGAUGGUCAGAGGAUGGGAUUUUACGCGCUUUUGAUCAGGUGAAGUAAGGAUGUUCUUCCAACUUAUAUCAGCACGGAGUAAUUUCUAUUAUCUGUAAAGUAAAACAACUCAAAGGCAGAUGUGUUAGUUUUCGUAUAUGAUAAGUAAUGCAAAAUAUUUGACAGGAAAUAACCACAUAGAGUUAUUUGAGUCAUAGCCAAAUUCAUCCAUAGAACAUAGUGGAUAAACUUUUCUCUGAUUCAAACAUAUGCACAUAUUCACAUGAAAUAGUUAUAUCACAAAAAAAUGUUAUAAUGACGCGUAUCCUAGCUGGGUGACCCUUUUAAGACAAGGGUUCUGGCCUAACAAUUUUUGAAGAAAAUAUAUGAUUCCUCGAAUUCAAUCCAUUAACCUCCAACUUAUAUAGACACAAAAAGGGAAUAAAUGCUUACAAAAGAUAACAAAAUAGGGAUACAAUCUUUAAGGAAAGGGAAAUAACAUGAAAGAAGACAUGUUCCCACACAGGGGAUAGAAAAUACUAAUUUUCGAGUACUUCUUCUAUCAACCUUUUCCUUUUUAGCUUGAUCCACUUCUUUAUUGGUGACAUCCGUUGACGUUCAAACUGUGCCUCAGAUGCAACCUCCCAAAUCGAUCAAUUUUUUGCUUAUCUUGCUUCAAUUUUUCUUACAAAAGGAAGCAAAUCAAGCUUUUUCCCAACCCCCAAAGGAUAAUGGAUUGAAUUAGAUAGGCAUACAUUUUCUUCAACACAUAAAUAUGGUUCGUCUAUAAUUGACUUGGGAUCAAUAGACACGGGGCAGGUUUUCUAAUGGGCCCAAUACACCACUCGAAUAUUGGGUCGUCCUAGGCACAUGCUUAAAAUAGGAUUUUGGUUUCAUUCUAUCCUCGGUGUCUAGAAUGGACUUGGACACUGGUUCUCAAGCGGAUAACUUGAGUUUAAAAAUAUGAACAACGUCAGACGACUCACGUGCUGAUAAGCUGUUCGUAUUUCCAACACAUUUUGGAAUUGAACAACAAGGGCCGGGACAUCUACGAAACCCCAAAAUAGUUUAUAAGAUGCAGGAAAUGCCAUGAGAUGCGAUAAUUAAACUUUACAUAAUCGAAACACAUAAAAACAUAAACAAUUAAUCAAAGACAAAAUAAAACAUUUUGUUAGAACCUAGUUAGAUCCCCAGCAGAGUCACUAUUUCUGUUUUGCGGAAAUUUUGACUUUUGAAGAGAGUCGCCACUUAAUUUGGAAAAGAAAUUAAGAAAACUUUAGAGAGUUACUUCAAACGAUUCAAAACAGAAAAAUCAUUUUAAUUUAGAGAUUCUAGAUAAGUUGUUCCUAUUAACGUUUUAGGAAGGUGUUACACCUAAAACGUCCGCUAACUUGCGAUUAUCUAGACUGUUUGAAAAUCGUCUUUUGAUUAACUUCAAAAAGAAUAAUUUGUUGAAAUAGUGAUUUAAUUUUUUCAAAAAAAAAAGAUUUACGUAAAAUAGAUUUAGGCGACUUAGUAGGAAUUUUAACUAAGUCUAAACAAAACAAAUAAACACAUAAAAGGGUAAGAGAGGAGAAAGUAAAGGAUUUAGGCCAUUAGGCCCAAAUCAACGAGACCUGUCCUAGUCUAGUUGGGCUUCCAACCCAUUUCACCUGUUCAAAACUAUUUUUCGAGCCUUUGGCUUGAGUCUUGCUCCACCUGCAUUAAAUACAACUUUGGCUUCGAGGCCAAAAUGAAUGAAUAAAUAAAUGACUAAAUGAAUAAAUAAAAAGAAGACAAUAAUAAAAAUUGAGACUUUUCAAGUCUUUUAGUGACCUCAUCAAUGGAUUUUGACCCAUUUUCCUUCUUUGUCUAUCUUCUAGCACCCGCACGCCAUGUAGUGGACCUUAGGUUUAAACUUCGAACUUGACUCAAAGGGGUGAGCCUCAUUUACCCUUUAUGAAAUGUAAGAGGAGAGGAGGUGGAUCGCAGGGCCUCCUCUGGAUCAUCACCAAUUUUAAAACUAUUAGUAAUUGCCCUUUCAUCUACCACAACGGGCGAUAGGUUAUGAGUGGAGUGGAGGUUCGAUUUUGCAAAUCCUCCCCAGGCGCAAUUUGCUUUAUCCCGCAUGACUCUGGGAGAUCUUUUGGUAUAUCAUUGCAUCCUUCAAACAAAUCUCCUAUCCCAUCCCCAAGACCAUCAUCAUAUGAUAUCUCUCGUACGGGAAAUGAUUGGAACAGGAGUGGCAAGGGCCUAAACAGACUCUUUUCUGGCUCAUCCUUAACCCUAUCUCUUCUAGUAGGCUGAUACCCUAACCCAUGCUUAGAGCUUCUCUCUAGAAUCACAAUAGGCUUGAUAAUUCUUUGUAAAUUCUUGCCCAAGCCUCGACUAGGUUCAAACCCAUUUCUUAACAUCACAGUUGCAAUCAUUUUGUAGACAGACGGCAUUGAUAUUUUGGGUGUCGAAUCUCUUUCCGUAGCGUUUACAAUUUCCACUGUAUAGAAACUGAUACAUUUUGGAACAUCUUCAAUCACCGGCAUAUAACCAUUGGGAUGGUCCGCUCGACUUCCUUCUCCUUGGAUGACUACUUCAUGAUCUUUCCAAAUGAACUUAAAUAAUUGAUGAAGGGGUGAUGAAAUUGCCUUCUCCUCGUGUAUCCAUGGUCUUCCCAAAAGCAGGUUGUAGCUAGGAUGGAUAUCUAUAACAUGAAACUCAGUCAUAAACUCAGCAGGCCCCAUUUGGAUAUGCAAAUCAAUCUCCCCUAUGGUAUCUCUAUGCCCUCCAUCAAAUGCUCUCACAUUUACGUGGCUUUAAGGAAUUUUCCCUAGAUCAUAGCCCAUUUGGACCAGCGUGGAGAGGGGAUAAAUAUUUACACCAGAUCCAUCGUCUAUUAAUACCUGAUUAAUUGUAUAAUCUCGACAAAUGAAGGUGACAUUCAUGGCUUUGUUAUGCAUUGCUCGUUCAAACGGCAACUCUUCGUCACUAAAUGAUAUGCGAUGGUUCCCUACAACGUUCCCUAUCAUCGCAGCCAAAUUCUCAACGCUCGUUCCUGCAGGAACAUACGUUUUCUCCAAGACCUUUGACAGAGCCUGUCGGUGGUGUUGCCAGCUCAAUAAUAGUGCCAAGACAAAGAUUUAUGCUGGCAUUUUCUCCAAGUGUUUGAUAAUUAAGUAAUUCUUUGGUUGCGUACGCCUCCAAAAUUCCUCAGCCUCUCCUUCAGUAAUUGGUCUUUUCUCUGAAUCUUUCUUGUUAGUCGAUUCCUCAUGGAUGUAACAUCGUCCUAAUCGCGUCAUCCCCUGGGCAGCGGCGGUUUACACAAUAAAUUCCUUCUUUGGAGGGGGAGCGUACACUUGAGUCGGUGCAAUCAUCACUAUAAAUGGGUCUUUCUCACUAAUACUUAAGGCAGCUACAGCUUUCUCUAUCUUUCCUACCUCUUCCGCCCUUUUGUAUUUUUCGGAGUUCACCUGAGUAAUGGUCUUGCCAGAUGCUCAUUCGCCUUUUAUUUUGAUCAUGUUGACUGUAGAUCCCCCAUGGUUGGGCAGUGGAUUACUGCUAACAUUUGGAGUCGGUUCCUGGAGCGUGAUAACCUUUUGAUCAAUUAGAUCUUAGAUUCUGUGUUUCAAGAUAAGACAAUCCCCGGUACUAUGCCCUGCUACCCCUGAAUGAUAGGCACAAUUUUGAUCAGGGUGAUAAAACCAAGAGCUAGGAUUGACAGUCUUUGGCUGUAUUGGUUGUAAAUGACCAGCAUUCUUCAAUCUUUCAAACAAUUGGGUGCGACUUUCAGCUAGUGGGGUGAAGUUUUGGGGAGGUUUAUUUUUGUGGUUUGGACGCUAGGGGUUAUACGGGCUUAGAUUUGUAGGAGGGGGUACUUGGUGGUAAUUUGGAGGUGUUUGGAAAUUGUUCGGCUAUUUGGGGGAAUAAUUUGGAAAUAAGAUUGAUAAUUUGGAGGUGGAACUGGGUAUUAGGAAAAGAUAUUUGGCUGUGGAGGUUGGUAUGAUGGUGGGAUGUUUGGGAGUGGAGUUUGGUAUUGGGGGUGAACGUACAAUGUGUACAGAAGGUUAGGUGAUGGCGGGGAAGAUAAAACGUAUCUAGAAUUGAACCGUUGUUUCAAUUUUGUAAUAGAAUUGGCAGAAACCCCACCUACCCAUUCCUUCUUCUUCUUAGAAAACAUGGGAGUUCCAGAUGAUGUCGGGGUUUUGGCAAUUUUUCCUGUCCGAAUACCAUACUCUAAUGACUCUCCUAUUUUUACCAAAUCUGCAAAGGUCGCUCUGACAGCGGACACCGUCCUGGUAUAAUAUUCUCCUUUUUUAGCGCGAGAGAACACGGAUACCAUUUCCUCCUCGGAUAUGGGGGCUGCACUUUGGCAUCUUCUUUUCUCCAACGAAAAGCAUAAUCUCGAAAACUCUCAAUGCUCUUUUGUUUAAUCUGAUCUAGUAAAUACCGAUCAGGGACUAUUUCAAUGUUGAAUGCGAACGGAUCAAGGAAACUCUUGGCUAAUGUCCUCCAACCAGCCCACCUUUUCAGCUCCUAAGACAUGAACCACUCCAAGGCUUCACCAUUCAAACUUCGAUUGAAUAGGCGCAUUAAUAAUGCCUCGUUUUUCCCUAUCCCUACUAGUUGCUCACAGUACCUUCUUAGAUGGGCCAUUGGAUUUCUGGUACCGUCAAAUAUCUCAAACUUAGGGACCUUGUAUCCUUCUGGUAGAUCUACUCCUGGGUGAACACACAAAUCGUCAUACCCCAAACCGUCGUGGUCCUUGGCCCCGUGAGACUCUUUGAUCCUCAUGAUCUCUUCUUGCAUGGCUAGUAAAUUCCUUUCAUGUUGGGCCCUUCAUUCCUUCUCCUUCUCCUUAUAAUGGUCCAUCUAAGGGUUAGGAAGGGGUUCAUAAAUAUUAGGGGAUAUGAUGGCUUGAGGGGAAUUUGGAAAGAAGGCUUGAUUUUAUAGAUGGAGGGAAUUUGGUUGGUAAAUAGAGAGAAUAUUUUGGAAAUUGAGAAGGUUAUGUGGGCCUUGUAAGUAGUUUGGCAAAAUAUGAGAAGGGUUUUACGGAUUUGGAAAUAAAUUUGGUGGAUUCAAAGGUAAGUUUGCCGUAUUUUGUGGAUUUGGGAGUAAAUCUUGCGGAUUUGGGAAUGCAUUUUGUUGACUUGAGAAUGUGUUUUAAGGAUUUAGGAAUGGAUUCGAAAACAGGUUCUGUAGGGUUGCGGAUGGAUUUUGUGGAUGGUAGGCGUCUGGAUUAUUUUCACAAUUAGUGUUUUGGACAAAUAGAGGAGCGGAGCUAGAUGAUAUGUUAGUUGGUUGGUCCCCGGAGUACUGAGGGGAGGGAUUUGGAGUGGAGUCCCAUGUCCUCUUGGAGUGGGAGCAUUGACGAUGAUGGCCAAGUUAGCCAAAUACCGAGUGUGAUUUAUUUCUUCCUGAAGCAUUUCUAACUUUCUUGCAAGUUCCGUAAUCAUUUCAUUCUGUUCUGCUAUCACAUUAUCCCGGAUAGUCAGUGCGCUUUCUUCACCAUUUCCUGUCAUUUUUGAAAGAUGGUCAGAGGAUGGAAUUUUAUGCGCUUUUGAUCAGGUGAAGUAGGGAUGUUCUUCCAACUUAUAUCAACACGGAGUAAUUUCUAUUAUCUG
RNAcentral lists this long non-coding RNA (6126 nucleotides) under Capsicum annuum. Its description in RNAcentral is "long non-coding RNA (CANN_LNC021765)". Lineage: Eukaryota; Viridiplantae; Streptophyta; Magnoliopsida; Solanales; Solanaceae. The record is from RNAcentral.